AGGCCUAACACAUGCAAGUCGAGCGCGAAAGUGACUUCGGUCACGAGUAGAGCGGCGAACGGGUGCGUAACACGUGGAUAAUCUGCCUUUAGGACUGGGAUAACUCAGGGAAACUUGGGCUAAUACCGGAUAAGACCACAGCUUCUAUGGAAACAGUGGUAAAAGGCGGCCUUCGGGCUUUCACCUAAAGAUGAGUCCGCGCACCAUCAGGUAGUUGGUGAGGUAAAGGCUCACCAAGCCUAAGACGGUUAGCCGACCUUAGCGGGUGAUCGGCCACACGGGGACUGAGACACGGCCCCGACUCCUACGGGAGGCAGCAGUGGGGAAUAUUGGACAAUGGGCGAAAGCCUGAUCCAGCAAUACCGCGUGAGGGAUGAAGGUCUUCGGGUCGUAAACCUCUGUCAGUUGGAACGAUGGGUUUCUGAGGUAAUAUUUCAGGAACUUGACGGUACCUUCAAAGGAAGCCCCGGCUAACUCCGUGCCAGCAGCCGCGGUAAUACGGAGGGGGCAAGCGUUGCUCGGAAUUACUGGGCGUAAAGGGUCCGCAGGUGGCUUUGUAAGUUAGAUGUGAAAUCUCAGGGCUUAACCC
This 589-nucleotide ribosomal RNA is filed under the name uncultured bacterium. RNAcentral describes it as "bacterial SSU rRNA". It matches the Rfam family "Bacterial small subunit ribosomal RNA", at positions 44 to 615 of the family's 1533-position model. The record is from RNAcentral.